RNAcentral lists this non-coding RNA (99 nucleotides) under Candidimonas nitroreducens. Its description in RNAcentral is "TPP sequence". It matches the Rfam family "TPP riboswitch aptamer (THI element)". From Rfam's summary of the family: Vitamin B(1) in its active form thiamin pyrophosphate (TPP) is an essential coenzyme that is synthesised by coupling of pyrimidine and thiazole moieties in bacteria. Lineage: Bacteria; Pseudomonadati; Pseudomonadota; Betaproteobacteria; Burkholderiales; Alcaligenaceae. The record is from Rfam by way of RNAcentral.
AAUAGCGACACGGGGUGUCCCGACCAAGUCGGGGCUGAGACGACACCCGUAGAACCUGAUUCAGUUCACACUGGCGGAGGGAUGUUCGCGACGCGGCAG